GACGAACGCUGGCGGCGUGCCUAAUACAUGCAAGUAGAACGCUGAAGGAGGAGCUUGCUUCUCUGGAUGAGUUGCGAACGGGUGAGUAACGCGUAGGUAACCUGCCUGGUAGCGGGGGAUAACUAUUGGAAACGAUAGCUAAUACCGCAUAAUAGUAGAUGUUGCAUGACAUUUGCUUAAAAGGUGCAAUUGCAUCACUACCAGAUGGACCUGCGUUGUAUUAGCUAGUUGGUGGGGUAACGGCUCACCAAGGCGACGAUACAUAGCCGACCUGAGAGGGUGAUCGGCCACACUGGGACUGAGACACGGCCCAGACUCCUACGGGAGGCAGCAGUAGGGAAUCUUCGGCAAUGGACGGAAGUCUGACCGAGCAACGCCGCGGGAGUGAAGAAGGUUUUCGGAUCGUAAAGCUCUGUUGUAAGAGAAGAACGAGUGUGAGAGUGGAGAGUUCACACUGUGACGGUAUCUUACCAGAAAGGGACGGCUAACUACGUG
RNAcentral lists this ribosomal RNA (495 nucleotides) under uncultured bacterium. RNAcentral's name for it is "partial 16S ribosomal RNA". It matches the Rfam family "Bacterial small subunit ribosomal RNA", at positions 28 to 507 of the family's 1533-position model. The record is from RNAcentral.